Molecule: ribosomal RNA, 510 nt
Filed under: uncultured bacterium
Lineage: Bacteria
Description: bacterial SSU rRNA
Rfam family: Bacterial small subunit ribosomal RNA
Source: RNAcentral
ACUUUGAUUAUGGCUCGGGACGAACGCUGGCGGCGCGCCUAACACAUGCAAGUCGAGCGGGAAGCUUUUUAAGGAUUCUUCGGAUGAAUUAAAAAGUGGAGAGCGGCGGACGGGUGAGUAACGCGUGAGAAACCUGCCCUAUACAGGGGGAUAGCCAUUGGAAACGAUGAUUAAUACCCCAUAUGACCACAGUAUCGCAUGAUACAGCGGUGAAAACUCCGGUGGUAUAGGAUGGUCUCGCGUCUGAUUAGCUAGUUGGUGGGGUAACGGCCUACCAAGGCGACGAUCAGUAGCCGGCCUGAGAGGGUGACCGGCCACACUGGAACUGAGACACGGUCCAGACUCCUACGGGAGGCAGCAGUGGGGAAUAUUGCACAAUAGGCGAAAGCCUGAUGCAGCGACGCCGCGUGAACGAUGAAGGCUUUCGAGUCGUAAAGUUCUGUUCUUGGGGAAGAUAACGACGGUACCCAAGGAGAAAGCACCGGCUAAAUACGUGCCAGCAGCCGCGGU